RNAcentral lists this ribosomal RNA (3066 nucleotides) under Triticum aestivum (bread wheat). RNAcentral describes it as "partial small subunit ribosomal RNA". The record is from RNAcentral. Lineage: Eukaryota; Viridiplantae; Streptophyta; Magnoliopsida; Poales; Poaceae.
AUGAGGCGGGGGAGCCAGCCCCUCCAUGGCCACGGCGCCGCGCUCGCGCUCGCGCUGCUGCUUCUCGCGGCGGCCGCCCAUGCUCAGCGGACCCUGAGGACCCAUGCGGGCGACGCGGCGGCGCUGAACGCGGUGUUCGCCAAGCUCGGCCAGAAGGCGUCGUCCUCAUGGAACAUCAGCGGCAACCUCUGCACCGGCGCCGCCACGGACGACACCGACAUCGACAACGACCCCAACUUCAACCCGGCCAUCAAGUGCCUCUGCUCCACCGGCAACGCCUCCGUCUGCCGCAUCACAAGGCUGAAAAUAUACGCCUUGGACGCGGUCGGCCCGAUACCAGAAGAGCUGUGGAACCUCACCAGCCUCACCAAUUUGAAUUUAGCACAAAAUUACUUAACAGGGCCUAUACCAUCGUUCAUUGAGAAGCUGGAUCAGAUGCAGUACUUGAGUUUGGGCAUCAAUGCGUUAUCUGGACCUCUACCAAAGGAGCUCGGGAACCUUACGAAUCUUGUAUCACUGGGCAUUGGCUCAAACAAAUUUAAUGGCUCACUACCUUCGGAGUUGGGAAACCUGGCCAAACUUGAACAAAUGUACAUCGACAGUGCUGGCCUUAGUGGCCCACUACCAGCGUCACUUUCCAGCCUUACGAAAAUGAAAAUAUUGUGGGCAUCAGAUAAUGAUUUUACUGGCCAGAUACCAGAUUAUAUUGGGAGCUGGAGUUUAACAGAGCUGAGGUUUCAAGGCAAUUCUUUCGAAGGUCCGAUUCCAGCUACUCUUUCCAAUCUUGCCCAAUUGACAAGCUUACGAAUCGGUGAUAUAUUAAAUGGGAGUUCUUCUUCACUGGCAUUCGUCAAUAACAUGACAUCUUUGAGCACCUUGGUUUUGAGGAACUGCAGGAUAUCUGAUAAGCUUUCAUCGAUUGACUUUUCAAAGUUGACGAGUUUAGACUUACUGGAUUUGAGUUUCAACAAUAUCACAGGCCAAGUACCACAAACCUUGUUGAAUCUGAACUCACUAAAGUUCUUAUUUCUUGGGAAUAAUAGCCUUUCAGGGAAUCUCCCAAGCUCAAUAGGAUCUUCGCUUAAAAAUUUAGAUUUUUCUUACAACCAGCUCUCAGGAACUGUUCCUUCUUGGGCUAAAGAUUCACAAUUGAAUCUGGUGACAAAUAAUUUCGUGGCUGAUAGUUCCAGCAACAGUGUCUUACCUACGGGGUGGGGGUGCCUUCAGCGUAAUACACCAUGUUUUCUUGGUUUGCCACAGUCUUCUUCAUUUGCUGUGGACUCUGGUAGUAGGCGACCCGUAUCAGGCUCAGAUAAUUCUUUCUACGAAUCUGAUGAUGCAAGUCUUGGACCUGCGUCAUUUUAUGUUACAGGAGCACAAACAUGGGGUGUUAGCAAUGUUGGAAGGUUUAUGGAUGCACAGAAUGGCAGUUAUAUAAUCUACAGUUCACGCCAGUUUCUGAAUACACUUGAUACAGAACUGUUCCGGAAUGCAAGGAUGUCACCUUCAUCCUUAAGAUACUUUGGUAUUGGACUUGAAAAUGGAAACUAUACAGUUACACUACAAUUUGCAGAGUUUGACUUCCCAGACGGUCAGUCUUGGAAGAGCACAGGAAGAAGGGUUUUUGAUAUAUAUGUUCAGGGUGUGCGUAAAGAACAGAACUUUGACAUAAGGAAGACGGCAGGCGGGAAAUCUUACACUGCUGUUAGGAAGCAGUACAUUGUUCCUGUCACGAAGAACUUUCUUGAGAUUCAUCUCUUCUGGGCUGGCAAGGGCACUUGCUGCAUUCCUACUCAAGGCUACUACGGGCCUGCGAUCUCAGCUUUGAGUGCAACACCAAAUUUCACCCCUACAGUGCGUAAUGCUGCGGCAAAGAAGAAUGGUAGUAAAACAGGCGUGAUUGUCGGAGUUAUAGUUGGUCUAGCAGUUUUAGGAUUGGUAGCAUUUGCCGCGAUCUUUUUUUGGAGGCAGAAAAAGAGAAAACUAUCAUUGGAGCAAGAAGAGCUCUACAGUAUUGUGGGAAGACCUAAUGUCCUCAGUUAUGGUGAGCUGAGGUCAGCUACUGAUAAUUUCAGUCCUGAUAACCUUCUUGGUCAAGGAGGAUAUGGGUCGGUUUAUAAGGGAAAGUUAACUGAUGGUAGGUUCGUGGCAGUGAAGCAGCUGUCUGAAAAAUCUCAUCAGGGAAAAAGGGAAUUUGCAACGGAAAUAGAAACUAUAUCUCGAGUGCAACACCGUAAUCUGGUGAAGCUGUAUGGUUGCUGCCUUGAGGGCAAUAAGCCACUGCUGGUUUAUGAGUACCUGGAGAAUGGAAGCCUGGACCAUGCUCUGUUUGGCAAAGGGAAGUCAAGCCUAGACUGGCCAACGCGUUUUGAGAUAUGCUUAGGCGUUGCAAGAGGUCUUUCCUAUCUUCAUGAAGAAUCUAGCAUCCGUGUUGUGCACAGGGACAUCAAGGCCAGCAAUAUCUUACUUGAUGCCAAUCUCAAUCCUAAGAUCUCGGAUUUCGGGCUCGCCAAACUUUAUGAUGACCAGAAGACACACGUGAGCACGAAGGUUGCUGGUACAUUUGGUUAUCUUGCACCUGAGUAUGCCAUGAGAGGCCAUAUGACAGAGAAGAUCGACGUGUUUGCAUUCGGCGUUGUGGUAUUGGAGACUUUAGCUGGGAGACCCAACUACAGUACAAAGGACGAGAACAAGGUUUAUAUUUUCGAAUGGGUGUGGGAACUGUACGAGGACAACCGCGCGCUGGACGUGGUGGACCCGAGGCUGGAAGAGUUCGACAGCGAGGAGGUGCUCCGGGCCAUCAAGGUGGCGCUGCUCUGCACCCAGGGCUCGCCCCACCAGCGCCCCCCCAUGUCGAGGGUGGUGGCGAUGCUGACGGGCGACGUCGAGGCGCCCGACGUGGUGACCAAGCCCAGCUACAUCACGGAGUGGCAGAUCAAGGGCGGCAACACCACCUACAUGAGCACCGAUGUCAGCGGGCAGUCAAGCUCUGCGCCAAGGCCCCAUUCGUCGACGUCCCAAACCUCCUCGCCGUUCCUGAGCUCCGUCAUCGAUGAAGGCCGCUGA